AGAGCGAACGCUGGCGGCAGGCCUAACACAUGCAAGUCGAACGGACCCUUCGGGGUUAGUGGCGGACGGGUGAGUAACACGUGGGAACGUGCCUUUUGGUUCGGAAUAGCUCCUGGAAACGGGUGGUAAUGCCGAAUGUGCCCUUCGGGGGAAAGAUUUAUCGCCAUUAGAGCGGCCCGCGUCUGAUUAGCUAGUUGGUGAGGUAAAGGCUCACCAAGGCUACGAUCAGUAGCUGGUCUGAGAGGAUGACCAGCCACAUUGGGACUGAGACACGGCCCAAACUCCUACGGGAGGCAGCAGUGGGGAAUCUUGCGCAAUGGGCGAAAGCCUGACGCAGCCAUGCCGCGUGAAUGAUGAAGGUCUUAGGAUUGUAAAAUUCUUUCACCGGGGACAUAAUGACGGUACCCGGAGAAGAAGCCCCGGCUAACUUCGUGCCAGCAGCCGC
Molecule: ribosomal RNA, 445 nt
Filed under: uncultured bacterium
Lineage: Bacteria
Description: SSU rRNA
Rfam family: Bacterial small subunit ribosomal RNA
Source: RNAcentral